Molecule: long non-coding RNA, 1246 nt
Organism: Triticum aestivum (bread wheat)
Lineage: Eukaryota; Viridiplantae; Streptophyta; Magnoliopsida; Poales; Poaceae
Exons: 3
Source: RefSeq, a predicted model, not a curated record
GAGUAUAUCAUCAUAUCAUCAAACUGUAUUCUGUAAUUUAACUGAUUUUUUUCUUCCAUCAUUAACUGAAAAUUUCUGAAAUGCCACUGUAGUUGUACCUGCAUGUUGUACUCCUGCAUCUUCAUCCAUUUGUACUCCUGCAUCAUCAUCCAUUUGUACUCCUGCAUCAUCACCAUCCAUUUCAUCUUCUGCAGGUGGAGUGCAGUUGAGGUCUGGGACAACCAUCUUCUGUUGCUUUCAGGUGAAUACAAGUGGACAGUUUGUUGGUGUUGCUGAAAUGACUGGUCCUGUUGAUUUUGAAAAAACUCUAGAGUACUGGCAACAAGACAAGUGGAAUGGUUAAUUCUCUGUCAAGUGGCACAUUGUCAAGGAUGUUCCCAACAACAUUCUCAAGCACAUCAUCCUAGAGAACAACGAGGGCAAACUGGUCACAAACAGCUGUGACACACAGGAUAUCAACCUUGAGCAAGGUAUUCAUAUGCUUAAGAUAUUCAAAGAGCAUGUCAGCAAGACCUCUAUCAGGUUCAAAGUUCCCAGAUAGGCCGUUUCAGCAUGCUUGUAGGAGAUGCUGGUUCUGUAGCAGAUGCCUUGUUUUUUAUGCCGUUUUGAUGCCAGAUAGGCCGACAUUACUCUUUUUUCCUCCAUUCGGUUGCACCUACCAUCUCAAUAUCAUCAUCCACUGCUUGCCUGGACCAACACCCAGCUACCAUCUUAUUUUGGGUUACUUUGCCUGCCUGGCUGCCAUGAUUGGUUGGAUGGUGAUGUUUGUAUCAGGGAGUUUGUUGACAAGAGCUCCACACUGACUACUAUCAGGUUCAAGGAGACUUGUUAUCACAGUCACUGCUCGGAUCCAGUUAGGUAAACAAAAUUUGCUGGGAACUCCAGUGCAUAACAAAAUUUGCUGGGAGUAUUCAGUUUACUGACAAAAUUUGCUACAGUUUAUGAUCUGCUACUCCUAUUAUCUGAAAUGCCACGGUUAUGAUUUGCUAGUCCUUUUGUUCAAAUUACUUACUCCAUCAGUACUCUAUCACUUAAAUCAAAUUAUUAGUUCAAACUUAGUGGUUUCUCUGAAUUAUUCUACCAAAUUCAGUUAUACUCUUGACUACACUUGAAUCAGUACAUCUCUUGAAUCACUUGAGUUUUGUUUAUGCUUGCAGUUUGUUUCCAGCGACAGCAGAGAGAUGUACUCCAGCAGAGGAUCAAAUGAUCAGAGAGAGGAGAUGAACCUGCCCAGCAGCAGCCGAGC